GUCCUAGCCGUAACGUUGGGCACUAGGUGUGGCGGACUCAUUGACGUCUGCCGUGCCGCAGCUAACGCAUUAAGUGCCCCGCCUGGGGAGUACGGUCGCAAGGCUAAACUCAAAGGAAUUGACGGGAGCCCGCACAAGCGGCGGAGCAUGCGGCUUAAUUCGAUGCAACCCGAAGAACCUUACCUGGGCUUGACAUCAUGGGAAAUCCCGCAGAGAUGCGGGGUGCGAAAGCGCCCAUGACAGGUGGUGCAUGGCUGUCGU
Molecule: ribosomal RNA, 261 nt
Filed under: uncultured bacterium
Lineage: Bacteria
Description: partial 16S ribosomal RNA
Rfam family: Bacterial small subunit ribosomal RNA
Source: RNAcentral